RNAcentral lists this long non-coding RNA (548 nucleotides) under Carica papaya (papaya). RNAcentral's name for it is "long non-coding RNA (CPAP_LNC014984)". The record is from RNAcentral. Lineage: Eukaryota; Viridiplantae; Streptophyta; Magnoliopsida; Brassicales; Caricaceae.
CACAUUUAAAUUACUUACCUCUGUACCCAUUCUACAGAACUAUACUCAUUUACCUGUACUAUUUUGUUUCAUCCAUUCUUGAAUUUAGACAUGUGCAACAAUUUUUCUAACAAGUUGGAACAUUAUAACAGGACAUACAUAUCACUAAGACCAUUCAACACAGCCACUGAACUUACCUAAUUAUAUUUUUUCACUCUCAUCAUUACACCUCUUUUAUAUAUGUUUUUCUUUAAUUUCUUUCCCACCAGAUUUCACACUCGGCUCCACCAGCCCAACUCCCUAUUUGUUUUGAUCACACCAGAAUGUAACGCACGCACGUACACAGAGCUUGCACUUUACACAUCGAACCAAGCCCUUCAGAGCCUUCUCUUUCUCGACUACGUCUCUGGCCUCAUUUAUCACAUGCAUUUAGGAGAUUCACUCCCAUUCAAACUCUCUUAUAUCCGGUUCCCUCUGCUAACCGAACGUGGGUCAGCUGUUCCACAUCACACGACUAACAUAGGCCACAAACACACCAUAAUGACAAGCAUUGAUUUCCACAUCACACG